RNAcentral lists this ribosomal RNA (472 nucleotides) under [Candida] mesenterica. Its description in RNAcentral is "LSU rRNA". It matches the Rfam family "Eukaryotic large subunit ribosomal RNA", at positions 76 to 646 of the family's 3401-position model. The record is from RNAcentral. Lineage: Eukaryota; Fungi; Ascomycota; Pichiomycetes; Serinales; Debaryomycetaceae.
UGCCUCAGUAACGGCGAGUGAAGCGGCAAAAGCUCAAAUUUGAAACCUUUCAGGAUUGUAAUUUGAAGAUGGCAUCAAAAAAAGGCUGAAAACUUAUGUUCCUUGGAACAGGACGUCACAGAGGGUGAGAAUCCCGUGCAGUUUUUCACGCCCUACCUUUCUUGCCAUCAAAGAGUCGAGUUGUUUGGGAAUGCAGCUCAAAGUGGGUGGUAAAUUCCAUCUAAAGCUAAAUACUGGCGAGAGACCGAUAGCGAACAAGUACCGUGAGGGAAAGAUGAAAAGCACUUUGAAAAGAGAGUGAAACAGUACGUGAAAUUGUUGAAAGGGAAGGGCAUGAAGAUAGAUUGUGAGGGUCGUGGGGAGUGGAGAAAAAAUCACGUGGGAACGUGGCCUUCGGGUGUUAUAUCCCACCACAUUUCUCCCACCCCCCACGAGGACCGCUUUUAGGACCCUCACGUAAUAUCUCCACGCC